RNAcentral lists this ribosomal RNA (497 nucleotides) under uncultured bacterium. RNAcentral describes it as "partial 16S ribosomal RNA". It matches the Rfam family "Bacterial small subunit ribosomal RNA", at positions 28 to 507 of the family's 1533-position model. The record is from RNAcentral.
GAUGAACGCUGGCGGCGUGCCUAAUACAUGCAAGUCGAGCGAACAGAUAAGGAGCUUGCUCCUUUGACGUUAGCGGCGGACGGGUGAGUAACACGUGGGUAACCUACCUAUAAGACUGGGAUAACUUCGGGAAACCGGAGCUAAUACCGGAUAAUAUUUCGAACCGCAUGGUUCGAUAGUGAAAGAUGGUUUUGCUAUCACUUAUAGAUGGACCCGCGCCGUAUUAGCUAGUUGGUAAGGUAACGGCUUACCAAGGCGACGAUACGUAGCCGACCUGAGAGGGUGAUCGGGCACACUGGAACUGAGACACGGUCCAGACUCCUACGGGAGGCAGCAGUAGGGAAUCUUGCGCAAUGGGCGAAAGCCUGACGGAGCAACGCCGCGUGAGUGAUGAAGGUCUUCGGAUCGUAAAACUCUGUUAUUAGGGAAGAACAUACGUGUAAGUAACUGUGCACGUCUUGACGGUACCUAAUCAGAAAGCCACGGCUAACUACGUG